GUCGGUAAAACUCGUGCCAGCCACCGCGGUUAAACGAGAGGCUCAAGUUGAUAGCCUUCGGCGUAAAGAGUGGUUAAGGAAUUAUUAAACUAGAGUCGAAUUUUCCCAUGGCUGUUAUACGCACCCGAGAACAUGAAGCCCGAGCACGAAAGUAACUUUAAAUAUCCUGACCCCACGAAAGCUGUGAAACAAACUGGGAUUAGAUACCCCACUAUG
Molecule: ribosomal RNA, 216 nt
Filed under: Fundulus pulvereus (bayou killifish)
Lineage: Eukaryota; Metazoa; Chordata; Actinopteri; Cyprinodontiformes; Fundulidae
Description: partial small subunit ribosomal RNA
Source: RNAcentral